CAUCCGAGUUUCUACGGUAAGUGGACUUCGUCCGAGCUUCUACAAUAAGUGGUCUCCAUCCGGGCUUCCAUGGCAACCGAUCUCCAUCCGAGCUUCUACAGUAAGCGGCCUCCUACAAGAAUCGAACUCCGUUCAAACUUCUACAACAGAAUCGGAUUCCAGAUGAACUUCUACAACGGACAGGCUCCAGCAGUCAGAUUUCUAUAGUGACCGACUGUCUCCAGUGUCUUCCGUACCUCUCCAGCCAUCAACCUUCAACAGUGCCAACCGGACUUCAACAGUGCCAACCAGACCCCUCCAAUGGACAAAUUCCCUUCGGACCCCUCCAGCGUUCGACCUUCCACAGUGUCCACCAGACUCCUCCAGCGGAUGAACUUUCAUAAUGCCUUUCGAAUUCCGCUAUCGAUCGACCUUCUGUCGGAUUUCUCAUACAACCGGACCUCUCCAGUGGACAGUCUUCAAACAAGCUUUUACAUCAGACAAAUUUCAGAUGGACUUCUCUAGCAAUCGGACUCCAGCCGGAUUUUUACAACAGAAAAUUUCCAUUCUGGCUUCU
This 556-nucleotide long non-coding RNA is filed under the name Elaeis guineensis (African oil palm). Its description in RNAcentral is "long non-coding RNA (EGUI_LNC062723)". Lineage: Eukaryota; Viridiplantae; Streptophyta; Magnoliopsida; Arecales; Arecaceae. The record is from RNAcentral.